CAGUUUUUGUUUUAUAAAAUUGUUAUUUGCAAGUAUUAAUAUAAAUUUUUUCAAUUUUUACAUAGUUUUUAUUUUUUAAUUAUUUAUGUUUUUAAAUUAAAUAAAUUACAAUUAAUAUUUUUUAAAUAUAUUUUAUUUAUUUGUUAAAUAUUUUUUUAUAAAAUUAACUUUGUUUUAUUUUUGAAAAGUGAAUAAUCCAGAGAUAACUAAAUUUAUAUUUAACAAAUAAAUUAUUUAAUUCUUGAUAAAUUUAUAAAUUUAUGAAUAAUUUGUAAAUUUUUAUAAAUUUAUUAUAAUUUUUAUGAUAGUCGUAUGUGUAUAUUUAUUUACUAAGUACUAUUAGGGAAAAAGUAAUUUAAAUUAUUUUUAUUUAGGU
This 376-nucleotide ribosomal RNA is filed under the name Beroe forskalii. RNAcentral's name for it is "12S ribosomal RNA". Lineage: Eukaryota; Metazoa; Ctenophora; Nuda; Beroida; Beroidae. The record is from RNAcentral.